RNAcentral lists this ribosomal RNA (460 nucleotides) under uncultured bacterium. RNAcentral's name for it is "partial 16S ribosomal RNA". It matches the Rfam family "Bacterial small subunit ribosomal RNA", at positions 338 to 795 of the family's 1533-position model. The record is from RNAcentral.
CCUACGGGUGGCUGCAGUGAGGAAUAUUGGUCAAUGGCCGCAAGCCUGAACCAGCCAAGUCGCGUGAAGGAUGACUGCCCUAUGGGUUGUAAACUUCUUUUAUAUGGGAAUAAAGUGCAGUAUGUAUACUUCUUUGCAUGUACCUUAUGAAUAAGGAUCGGCUAACUCCGUGCCAGCAGCCGCGGUAAUACGGAGGGUCCGAGCGUUAUCCGGAUUUAUUGGGUUUAAAGGGAGCGUAGGCGGGUUUUUAAGUCAGUUGUGAAAGUUUGCGGCUCAACCCUAAAAUUGCAGUUGAUACUGGAAGCCUUGAGUAUAGUAGAGGUAGGCGGAAUGCGGGGUGUAGCGGUGAAAUGCUUAGAUAUCACGAAGAACUCCGAUUGCGAAGGCAGCCUGCUGGACUGUAACUGACGCUGAUGCACGAAAGUGUGGGUAUCAAACAGGAUUAGAUACCCCGGUAGUC